AGUGAACGCUGGCGGUAGGCCUAACACAUGCAAGUCGAACGGCAGCACAGUAAGAGCUUGCUCUUACGGGUGGCGAGUGGCGGACGGGGGAGGAAUACAUCGGAAUCUACUUUUUCGUGGGGGAUAACGUAGGGAAACUUACGCUAAUACCUCAUACGACCUACGGGUGAAAGCAGGGGAUCUUCGGACCUUGCGCGAUUGAAUGAGCCGAUGUCGGAUUAGCUAGUUGGCGGGGUAAAGGCCAACCAAGGCGACGAUCCGUAGCUGGUCUGAGAGGAUGAUCAGCGACACUGGAACUGAGACACGGUCCAGACUCCUACGGGAGGCAGCAGUGGGGAAUAUUGGACAAGGGGCGCAAGCCUGAUCCAGCCAUACCGCGUGGGUGAAGAAGGCCUUCGGGUUGUAAAGCCCUUUUGUUGGGAAAGAAAAGCAGCAGGUUAAUACCCCGCUGUUCUGACGGUACCCAAAGAAUAAGCACCGGCUAACUUCGUG
Molecule: ribosomal RNA, 492 nt
Filed under: uncultured bacterium
Lineage: Bacteria
Description: partial 16S ribosomal RNA
Rfam family: Bacterial small subunit ribosomal RNA
Source: RNAcentral